GACGAACGCUGGCGGCGUGCUUAACACAUGCAAGUCGAACGGAAAGGCCCUGCUUUUGUGGGGUGCUCGAGUGGCGAACGGGUGAGUAACACGUGAGUAACCUGCCCUUGACUUUGGGAUAACUUCAGGAAACUGGGGCUAAUACCGGAUAGGAGCUCCUGCUGCAUGGUGGGGGUUGGAAAGUUUCGGCGGUUGGGGAUGGACUCGCGGCUUAUCAGCUUGUUGGUGGGGUAGUGGCUUACCAAGGCUUUGACGGGUAGCCGGCCUGAGAGGGUGACCGGCCACAUUGGGACGGAGAUACGGCCCAGACUCCUACGGGAGGCAGAAGUGGGGAAUAUUGCACAAUGGGCGGAAGCCUGAUGCAGCAACGCCGCGUGCGGGAUGACGGCCUUCGGGUUGUAAACCGCUUUCGCCUGUGACGAAGCGUGAGUGACGGUAAUGGGUAAAGAAGCACCGGCUAACUACGUG
RNAcentral lists this ribosomal RNA (468 nucleotides) under uncultured bacterium. RNAcentral describes it as "partial 16S ribosomal RNA". It matches the Rfam family "Bacterial small subunit ribosomal RNA", at positions 28 to 507 of the family's 1533-position model. The record is from RNAcentral.